AACGAACGCUGGCGGCGUGGAUAAGACAUGCAAGUCGAACGGGACAUUUUUAGUAGUAAUAUUAGAGAUGUUCAGUGGCGAACGGGUGCGUAACACGUGGAUACAUUCCGGAAAGCGGGGGAUAGCCCAGGGAAACUUGGAUCAAUACCGCAUGUGGUCGCAAGACUAAAGACGGGGAUCGAAAGACCUGUCACUUUCCGAUUGGUCCGCGGCCUAUCAGCUAGUUAGCGGGGUAAAAGCCCACCAAGGCGACGACGGGUAGCUGGUCUUAGAGGACGACCAGCCACACUGGAACUGAGACACGGUCCAGACACCUACGGGUGGCAGCAGUCGAGAAUCUUUCACAAUGGGGGCAACCCUGAUGGAGCGACGCCGCGUGGAGGAUAAGGUCUUCGGAUUGUAAACUCCUGUCAUGCGAGAACAAGGUUGCAGGGCUAAUACCCGUGCAAAUUGAUGGUACCGCAAGAGGAAGAGACGGCUAACUCUGUGCCAGCAGCCGCCGCCG
This 505-nucleotide ribosomal RNA is filed under the name uncultured bacterium. Its description in RNAcentral is "partial 16S ribosomal RNA". It matches the Rfam family "Bacterial small subunit ribosomal RNA", at positions 29 to 523 of the family's 1533-position model. The record is from RNAcentral.